GCUCAGCCUCUGGGUAUUAAUCUGCUGAGCUGGUGGCCACCUAAAUACAAUCGUCCUGUUCCCCUCAUUGGUCUCUCCGGUCUCCUGAUUCCAGCCACAUUUUGGUGAGCCAGCCAGGAGUGAAGACGACAGGUUUGCUGUCUCCUUUGCCUGUGGGUCUGGGGCCCCAGCCUGGGGGAGACCCGUGACUCCAGGCAUGCUAUCAGGACAACUUCAACCCGAGGGGAGAUCAGCUCUCCCGCAACCUGGUGCCGCUCUCUGACAGCACAACAGAACCUAAGGGGCUACAGGAUGAUUCAAGGAACAGUGUGCUACAGGACCUCGCAAGAAGACCCUCACCAGAUGCAGCCCCUCUAUGUUGGACUUCCCAGCCUCCGGAAGUUAGAAAUGUGCUACAACCACUCAAGGUCUGCAAACAGAUUCCUAUUUAGAUGUUGUUGAGAGGUAAGUACAACUAGUUCUCAUUAAUAUUUCAUGUCCUAUGUGCCAUACUUACACUGCCAUUUUGUAGUCAUUUGUCCUACAGCUAAAGAUUAAUUUAUAAUCAGAUACGUGAAAUCUGAUAUGUGCAUUAAGCUUGAUUAUACCUGACUGUGUCUUCACGAAGAUAAUUGUAAAUGACAUAUUAAUUAAUUUGCAAGUGUGUUCGGUUUACAUUACAUAUAGUAUCACAGACAACAUUACACAUAUGAUAAUUUGCCAUUAGUCCUAAAUAUUAAUAAUAUGAUUUCUCAAUGAGUCUGAAACAUUUUCAAGAUACUAGAAAUUUGUGACAGAUGCCUUUUACAUCUGUGAGAAUCCAGAAUAUUAUUCUUUAAAAUGCAUUUUCUCAUAAAUAGCUCAUUAACUUUCUCAUUGUUCUCAGUUGUAAAUCUGUAAAAAGCAAUUUUGUUCCCUUGUCUGUAAUAAGAAAUCUUUUGCACUCAUUAAGAUAAUUAAAGCAUUACUAGUGUGCAUGCUCACUAUAUUCAAAACAUUUUCUACUUGAUAUGAGUUGUCAUGGCAUUAUCAAGACCGGAGGGGGCGGAAAGAAAAAAAUAAAAUAGCGUCAGCCUAUGGUUAUGCUCUUUGAAUUUGAAUAUGAUUAAGUGCAUCUUUAAUUUGUUUCUGAGUCAUAGUUUAAAAUAAAAACUGGAGAGCAUUUUGUAGGAGCAAUACUGCCCUUUUGUUCAAUUUCCUUCUUUUAAUUCAACAGAACACUUAAUAAAA
Molecule: long non-coding RNA, 1209 nt
Filed under: Homo sapiens (human)
Lineage: Eukaryota; Metazoa; Chordata; Mammalia; Primates; Hominidae
Description: long intergenic non-protein coding RNA 278
Source: RNAcentral